Long non-coding RNA from Dreissena polymorpha, 3263 nucleotides. RefSeq lists it as uncharacterized. The transcript has 3 exons. NCBI's taxonomy places the organism in Eukaryota, Metazoa, Mollusca, Bivalvia, Myida, Dreissenidae. The record is from RefSeq and is a predicted model, not a curated record.
GUAUUUUAUUGGUUUUAAUAAUGUUUGUAAAAAUAUAUUGAGAACUCGAUGACCACUAUAUCUUAAAACAAAAUGACUGCAGAACAGGUCUUAAGCAUUUUCCUUUAAAUAUGUCACUAUCUUUCUCAGUAAACACAAUGUCUGCAGAAAGAAUAACCUCUUUCCCUUUAAAGAAAUCUCAAUAUGUUUUUUACUGCAAACGGAUUUAUUACAGAACUGGAAUCUAUCUUUGAACAUUUUCCUGCAGUAUUCUCCGUCAUUUGCAGUUAACAAAAUGACUGAACAACAUGGCAUCAAUGGCAAGGAAGACGUGAUAAGGGGGGGGGGUAAUCACGUGCAAGUCAAGAUGGCGACGUCCAUGCCAAGACUGAAAACCCUGAUUGCAAAGCGUAGAGUCUGCUCCGGAAGCAUUUGCACACAAGGCACAAACAUCAGCUGCAAUAAUCGUCUCGAUAUUCUGUCAUUGCGAAGGUGCAUGACCCUCAGUCUAUGAACAGAGGGAACCUUGGACACCCAUGGACGAAAGAAAACUGGCCAAUCAGAAUUACAGCCUGUUGCAGCAGUGGUUACCAUAUUUACCCCAGUCAAACCUAAGAAGCUCAGAGAUAUAUACUGUUUAAUUUGUGCUAGUCUCUACAUACCUCCUGGUAUGUUCAGCACUUACUCUCACAGGUUUCAUCUUUGAAUUUUGUGACGGAUGGAAAUUAAAUGAACUUGUUCAGAUCGAAAUGGCAGAAUGACAUAUCACAAGUCGAGUGGAAAGCCAGAAAGUCAUGUCAACAGCCACAUUUCUUAUGUGACCAGCCAAGUUGUAUUCAAAGGACAACACAAGUAUAUGUUUUAUGGGAAAUAUGAUGCUCUCAGUCAUUUUAUGUUGAAAGUUUUGGUAAAAUAUAGUAUGUAAAAAUUAUUAUUGUAAGCACACAUAUUACAAGUCUAUCCAAUGUCUUUGUCUGUAUUAUGAAACUUUCACUACAGAUUUUGAUCCUGAUACUGCUACAAUUUUAUUUUAAUAUUGUCAAAGCUGUUUUAAUGAUGCUGGUAACUGUAAUGAAACAUGUUCAUGUUUUCUGUUUUUUACCAGUAAUAUAGAUGUGCUACUUAAAAAAAUUCUUCAGAAAGGCUGAGAGUUAUGAAAUAUCGGUAUUGUCUGUCUAUCAAUCUUUUUGAAACAAUAUAAGUCGAUUGGCUCACCCGGGUCAGUAUUCGAUCAAGAAUCUUGUUUAGUAGCAUAAUAUUUCAUGGGAAUACAUGUAUAAAUAAAUUCUGGGAAAAAUCAUUUAAUCUACCUAACAUUAUUGAUUCUGUAACACUACCAGUACUUGGUUGAUUUCAAUGGCUGCAGUUUGUUAAAUGAUUAGAGUAUGACUCUUUUGUUAUUGGGAAAGCUUUUUAUGUAAAUGAGAAUUAAACAAAUAUGAAAGUAUUUUAUGAAAAAUGGCAAAAGUUAUGAUUGUUAAAUUGUGUUGUUAUAUCAUAGACUAACAUGAUGGUAAGUUUUAAAGUUUGUUUUUGGACAUAACAGUUUAUUAUGCCAUAUAUUUGUAUAUGCACAUUGAGACAACCCUCUUAAAUCAGUGAGUACACCUGUAUCUUAACCAAGAUUUCUGAUCACUGUAUAUAGGUAUAUUUUGCCAUGUAUACUGCAAAACAAUUGUAUGUUCAGUAUAAACUGUUUAUUUAAUAUUGCCAUUUUUAUAAGAUAAACUCACUGUUUACAUUUAUUUGUACAAACAAUUGUUCUAAAACAACAUUUCUUGUGUAAAUGCUCAUAUACGUAUUAAAACUGUUUAAAUAAUGCAGCAUAACAUAUUUUGAAGAGAAAAAGAUAGUUAAGGCAAUAUAAACACCUUGUUAUAUGCAAUGUUUUUCAUUGAAUGAAUUUUAGCAACUAUUUAAAAUGUAAUUUUUUUUACAUAAACUAAAGAAAAAAUAAUACCUUGAAAUUUGAAAUCAGUCAAUUAAAAUUAAGGGAGAGUGAUAUCAUAUGCUAACAAUUGCCAAGAAUUGCAAUGGCCUCUAUUGGCAAUAUUAGCGAGUACUAUUAUUUGCAAAAGAUAUCUAUUUUGUUAGAUAAUAAUUGUGUUUUACAACUCGACAUAACAAGUAAAUACAUUUCUAAUUGUUUCGCACUAUAUACUCGGCUAUAGGUGAAUGUCUAAAAGGAUUUUGUGGAAUAAACACUUUAGAAAAUAUAUGCUUGUUUCAGGAAGUAAUAGUUUAGGUAAAAUGUGAUACUUAUUGUUACAUAAACACCAAGUAUAAUAACAAAAUGCAUCAGUAAUGACAUUAUUUGAAAAAUUACAUUUGCAUGAUCACACAAUGUGUAAAGUUGUGUAAAUGUGACGUUUAUGAAUUGUGUAUAUUUCAACAAUAAUAUUAUACUUGUAUUUAAAGUACUUGAUAAGUUUUGACGUAGAUCUAUUGCUAUUAGAGAAUUGUAUCAUUUAACUAGUUUUGUUACAGUUUGUGUAACGUUGACCAGUCCACAUAGCUGUCAGUGGAGUGAAUUCACUGGGGUUCGAUUUCCGUAAUUCUCCUAGUUAAAAACUUCAGCAUACACGUAUGUCUUAAAUCCAGAUUUCCCUAAAAUUGUGGUUGUUUAUAUUGAACUUUUAUUGAAUGCAUGUGACAUGUUUGUUCUUUUGUUGAACGACUGAAAAUAACUUUAUAUGUAUAAAUUGUGUGUCAUGUUUAGAUAUUGCCAUGUUUAGAUAAAUCAAAUUGAUAAAUAGAAAACAAAAUACAAAAUUUGCAAUAAUUUGUAUGCAUGCUUAGCCACCAAAAAUGUUAUCAUACAAGCUUAUUGGUAUUGGACUAUGUUUGUACUUUAAGAUGAAAUGUUUCAAUCAUGUGUGAUUUUUAUCAUUUACGUUAAAUAAACAUUUUCCAUUAGUAGAUAUAGGGUGUAUAAACUCUUAAGUAGACUUCUUUUUAAUUGCUUUUGUAAAUAUCUUCAAUAUUUGACAUUACUGUUAAGGGUAUUUUUUGCUCGGCUGUUUUCAGGAAAAAAACGAGGUAUUGUCAUAGCCAGCUCGUUGUGUCGUCCGACGUCCGCGUCGUGCUAAAACCUUUAAAUUUUGCUCUAAAAUCAAAGUGCUUCCACCUAAAACUUUGAAACUUCAUAUGUAGAUGCACAUUGAUGAGUUCUACACGCCACACCUAUUUUGCGGUCACUAGGUCAAAGGUCAAGGUUGCGGUGACCUCUUAAAAAAACAAAUUUGUACAAGCUUUCAUUCAUUCAAAACUGCACCCGCAGCCGA